AUUUUUCUUUCAGGAUGAAGGACGUAGUGGCAGGGAUUGCAUUUAUAGCAGAUGGAAAAACUGGGAUGUUGAAUGUGCGCAUGGAGCGCGUAGCAGCCAUAUCCUUCAAACGAAGGACUGAAAAAGGCGGCAGGUUUAACCUGUCGCCUUUUUUAUUUGUCUGCUU
Molecule: small RNA, 166 nt
Filed under: Serratia odorifera DSM 4582
Lineage: Bacteria; Pseudomonadati; Pseudomonadota; Gammaproteobacteria; Enterobacterales; Yersiniaceae
Source: RNAcentral